RNAcentral lists this ribosomal RNA (468 nucleotides) under uncultured bacterium. RNAcentral's name for it is "partial 16S ribosomal RNA". It matches the Rfam family "Bacterial small subunit ribosomal RNA", at positions 28 to 507 of the family's 1533-position model. The record is from RNAcentral.
GACGAACGCUGGCGGCGUGCCUAACACAUGCAAGUCGAACGGAAAGGCCCUGCUUUUGUGGGGUGCUCGAGUGGCGAACGGGUGAGUAACACGUGAGUAACCUGCCCUUGACUUUGGGAUAACUUCAGGAAACUGGGGCUAAUACCGGAUAGGAGCUCCUGCUGCAUGGUGGGGGUUGGAAAGUGUCGGCGGUUGGGGAUGGACUCGCGGCUUAUCAGCUUGUUGGUGGGGUAGUGGCUUACCAAGGCUUUGACGGGUAGCCGGCCUGAGAGGGUGACCGGCCACAUUGGGACUAGGAUACGGCCCAGACUCCUACGGGAGGCAGCAGUGGGGAAUAUUGCACAAUGGGCGGAAGCCUGAUGCAGCAACGCCGCGUGCGGGAUGACGGCCUUCGGGUUGUAAACCGCUUUCGCCUGUGACGAAGCGUGAGUGACGGUAAUGGGUAAAGAAGCACCGGCUAACUACGUG